AUUGCCUUAGUAACGGCGAGUGAAGCGGCAAAAGCUCAGAUUUGAAAUCUGGUGUCAAAUUGAUACCCGAGUUGUAAUCUGUAGAGGAGUUUUUCGGAGUAUGGCUUUGGUUAAAGUUCCUUGGAAAAGGGCAUCAUAGAGGGUGAGAAUCCUGUUUGUGACCUUAUCUAUCUCCAUUAUGAAUCUCCUUCAAUGAGUCGAGUUGUUUGGGAAUGCAGCUCUAAAUGGGUGGUAAAUUCCAUCUAAAGCUAAAUAUUGGCAAGAGACCGAUAGCGCACAAGUAGAGUGAUCGAAAGAUGAAAAGAACUCUGAACAGAGAGUUAAAGAGUACGUGAAAUUGUUGAAAGGGAAGCACUUGUGACCAGACAAAUUUGCAAUUAAUCAGCCAUCAAUUUUUUGAUGGUGCACUUAAUUGCAGGUGGGUCAGCAUCAGUUAUAGCAGUGGAAAAAAGACCAAAGGAAUGUAGCUCCUCUUUGAGGAGUGUUAUAGCCUUUGGUUUAAUACUGCUUGCUAUGACUGAGGAUAGCACUUCUUGUAAGGAUGCUGACAUAAUGGUCAUAAGUGACCCGUCUUGAAACACGGACCAAGGAGUCUAACAUCUAUGCGAGUGUUUGGGUUCAAGCCCUUAUGCAAAAUGAAAGUGAAUGGAGGUGGAAACCAUUAGGUGCACCAUCGACCGAUCUUGAAGUUUUCUGAUGGAUUUGAGUAGG
This 711-nucleotide ribosomal RNA is filed under the name Pachyphlodes citrina. Its description in RNAcentral is "eukaryotic LSU rRNA". It matches the Rfam family "Eukaryotic large subunit ribosomal RNA", at positions 74 to 798 of the family's 3401-position model. The record is from RNAcentral. Lineage: Eukaryota; Fungi; Ascomycota; Pezizomycetes; Pezizales; Pezizaceae.